Molecule: ribosomal RNA, 496 nt
Filed under: uncultured bacterium
Lineage: Bacteria
Description: partial 16S ribosomal RNA
Rfam family: Bacterial small subunit ribosomal RNA
Source: RNAcentral
GACGAACGCUGGCGGCGUGCCUAAUACAUGCAAGUUGAGCGAUGAAGAUUGGUGCUUGCACCAAUUUGAAGAGCAGCGAACGGGUGAGUAACGCGUGGGGAAUCUGCCUUUGAGCGGGGGACAACAUUUGGAAACGAAUGCUAAUACCGCAUAACAACUUUAAACAUAAGUUUUAAGUUUGAAAGAUGCAAUUGCAUCACUCAAAGAUGAUCCCGCGUUGUAUUAGCUAGUUGGUGAGGUAUAGGCUCACCAAGGCGAUGAUACAUAGCCGACCUGAGAGGGUGAUCGGCCACAUUGGGACUGAGACACGGCCCAAACUCCUACGGGAGGCAGCAGUAGGGAAUCUUCGGCAAUGGACGAAAGUCUGACCGAGCAACGCCGCGUGAGUGAAGAAGGUUUUCGGAUCGUAAAACUCUGUUGGUAGAGAAGAACGUUGGUGAGAGUGGAAAGCUCAUCAAGUGACGGUAACGACCCAGAAAGGGACGGCUAACUACGU